This 273-nucleotide ribosomal RNA is filed under the name uncultured bacterium. RNAcentral's name for it is "partial 16S ribosomal RNA". It matches the Rfam family "Bacterial small subunit ribosomal RNA", at positions 524 to 796 of the family's 1533-position model. The record is from RNAcentral.
UACGAAGGGGGCUAGCGUUGCUCGGAAUUACUGGGCGUAAAGGGCGCGUAGGCGGACAGUUAAGUUGGGGGUGAAAGCCCGGGGCUCAACCUCGGAAAUGCCUUCAAUACUGGCUGUCUUGAGUACGGGAGAGGUGAGUGGAACUCCGAGUGUAGAGGUGAAAUUCGUAGAUAUUCGGAAGAACACCAGUGGCGAAGGCGACUCACUGGCCCGUUACUGACGCUGAGGCGCGAAAGCGUGGGGAGCAAACAGGAUUAGAUACCCCCGUAGUCC